This 253-nucleotide ribosomal RNA is filed under the name uncultured bacterium. RNAcentral's name for it is "partial 16S ribosomal RNA". It matches the Rfam family "Bacterial small subunit ribosomal RNA", at positions 524 to 776 of the family's 1533-position model. The record is from RNAcentral.
UACGUAGGGUGCAAGCGUUAAUCGGAAUUACUGGGCGUAAAGCGUGCGCAGGCGGUUUUGUAAGACUGUCGUGAAAUCCCCGGGCUUAACCUGGGAAUGGCAGUGGAUACUGGAAAGCUAGAGUGCGGUAGAGGGUAGUGGAAUUCCCGGUGUAGCAGUGAAAUGCGUAGAGAUCGGGAGGAACACCAGUGGCGAAGGCGGCUACCUGGACCAGCACUGACACUGAGGCACGAAAGCGUGGGGAGCAAACAGG